This 844-nucleotide long non-coding RNA is filed under the name Olea europaea subsp. europaea. Lineage: Eukaryota; Viridiplantae; Streptophyta; Magnoliopsida; Lamiales; Oleaceae. The record is from RNAcentral.
CUAGUCAUGUAUUUAUAUAAACCCAAACGGGCUCGGCCCGGUCCGGUCCAUUGUUUAAUUAAUCCAUUUAAUUAAACCCGGUCCGUGAAUUAAUCAAUCCAAUUAAUUAAUUCGGGAAUAUAAAUAACAAAUCCAAUUAAUUAAUUUAUCCAACGAUUGUUAAAUUAAUCAAUUGGGAAUUUGCAACCUAUCAAUUCUCUUUUGUGUGCGACCCAUUAGGUUCCCGACCACGAUGCCUAACGACGUGAAAUAUUAUUUUGAUCUAAUCAAAACUGAUAAAUUAAACACUCUUUUAAUUUAUCACAGAUUCACACUCGUCGUCCCAGAUUGACAUCUAACAAUGUAUCAGGGCAACACAUGUGACGGGAAAUAUCACGUGGUAUGACAAAACCAAAACUGUUCGUUUACCAUGAAAUUAUAAUCCCUUCGUCAAUAUGAUCCGAUCAACUACGAGAUAUGGAAGUGUGUCAAUCUCGAUUAUCGAUCAUAUCUUUCAUUCUUCUAUUAAGUCAAUAUGAGUCGAAAACUCUUUUCGACUUAUAUGUACACCUUGGCCAAGGAUUUCGUUAUUGACUUAAUUGAAUGAAAUGCAGAUCACAAUCUCUUACUAUCUAAGAGUGACGAAUCCUCUAUUGAUCAUUCACAACCUUCAUAUGGUUCUUGACAUACCCGAACGAUGUCGUAUUAGCGGCCCUUGGCAGAGCAACAUCCAACACCGUCAAAAUAUGACUGUCCUCAUAUAAGGUACUAUGAUGACCUCAAGUUGUAGGACCAAUUUCAUUACCGAACGUUAGAGAUUAACCACUGACACUCAGAUAGUUAUCCAUGUGGAAUCUCUUAGCGG